AUUGAACGCUGGCGGCAGGCUUAACACAUGCAAGUCGAGCGGAGUGAUGGUGCUUGCACUAUCACUUAGCGGCGGACGGGUGAGUAAUGCUUAGGAAUCUGCCUAUUAGUGGGGGACAACAUCUCGAAAGGGAUGCUAAUACCGCAUACGUCCUACGGGAGAAAGCAGGGGAUCACUUGUGACCUUGCGCUAAUAGAUGAGCCUAAGUCGGAUUAGCUAGUUGGUGGGGUAAAGGCCUACCAAGGCGACGAUCUGUAGCGGGUCUGAGAGGAUGAUCCGCCACACUGGGACUGGGACGCGGCCCAGACUCCUACGGGAGGCAGCAGUGGGGAAUAUUGGACAAUGGGGGGAACCCUGAUCCAGCCAUGCCGCGUGUGUGAAGAAGGCCUUAUGGUUGUAAAGCACUUUAAGCGAGGAGGAGGCUCUUUUGGUUAAUACCCAAGAUGAGUGGACGUUACUCGCAGAAUAAGCACCGGCUAACUCUGUGCCAGCAGCCGCGGUAA
RNAcentral lists this ribosomal RNA (503 nucleotides) under uncultured bacterium. Its description in RNAcentral is "partial 16S ribosomal RNA". It matches the Rfam family "Bacterial small subunit ribosomal RNA", at positions 30 to 523 of the family's 1533-position model. The record is from RNAcentral.